AGUCUGAACCAGCCAAGUAGCGUGCAGGAUUGACGGCCCUAUGGGUUGUAAACUGCUUUUGUUGGGGAGUAAAGUGAGGCACGCGUGCCUUUUUGCAUUUACCCUUCGAAUAAGGACCGGCUAAUUCCGUGCCAGCAGCCGCGGUAAUACGGAAGGUCCAGGCGUUAUCCGGAUUUAUUGGGUUUAAAGGGAGUGUAGGCGGUCUGUUAAGCGUGUUGUGAAAUUUAGGUGCUCAACAUCUAACUUGCAGCGCGAACUGGCGGACUUGAGUGCACGCAACGUAUGCGGAAUUCAUGGUGUAGCGGUGAAAUGCUUAGAUAUCAUGACGAACUCCGAUUGCGAAGGCAGCGUACGGGAGUGUUACUGACGCUUAAGCUCGAAGGUGCGGGUAUCGAACAGGAUUAGAUACCUUGGUAGUCCGCACGGUAAACGAUGGAUGCCCGCUGUUAGCGCCUGGCGUUAGCGGCUAAGCGAAAGCAUUAAGCAUCCCACCUGGGGAGUACGCCGGCAACGGUGAAACUCAAAGGAAUUGACGGGGGCCCGCACAAGCGGAGGAACAUGUGGUUUAAUUCGAUGAUACGCGAAGAACCUUACCCGGGCUG
Molecule: ribosomal RNA, 602 nt
Filed under: Prevotella intermedia
Lineage: Bacteria; Pseudomonadati; Bacteroidota; Bacteroidia; Bacteroidales; Prevotellaceae
Description: bacterial SSU rRNA
Rfam family: Bacterial small subunit ribosomal RNA
Source: RNAcentral